AGAGUUAUGGCUCAGCGGUAGAGCACUUGCUUGACAUGUGUGAGGCCCUGGGUUCAAUCCUCAGCAAUGCAU
RNAcentral lists this transfer RNA (72 nucleotides) under Ictidomys tridecemlineatus (thirteen-lined ground squirrel). RNAcentral's name for it is "Spermophilus tridecemlineatus (thirteen-lined ground squirrel) tRNA". It matches the Rfam family "tRNA". Rfam says of the family: Transfer RNA (tRNA) molecules are approximately 80 nucleotides in length. Their secondary structure includes four short double-helical elements and three loops (D, anti-codon, and T loops). The record is from Rfam by way of RNAcentral. Lineage: Eukaryota; Metazoa; Chordata; Mammalia; Rodentia; Sciuridae.